AGAGUUUGAUCCUGGCUCAGGAUGAACGCUGGCGGCGUGCUUAACACAUGCAAGUCGAACGGGAAUGCUUCGCUGAUGCGAUUUCGGUCAAAUCUUGAAGCAUUUUAGUGGCGGACGGGUGAGUAACGCGUGGGUAACCUGCCCUGUACAGGGGGACAACAGUUGGAAACGACUGCUAAUACCGCAUAAGCGCACAGCUUCGCAUGGAGCAGUGUGAAAAACUCCGGUGGUACAGGAUGGACCCGCGUUUGAUUAGAUAGUUGGUGAGGUAACGGCCCACCAAGUCAACGAUCAGUAGCCGGCCUGAGAGGGCGAACGGCCACAUUGGGACUGAGACACGGCCCAAACUCCUACGGGAGGCAGCAGUGGGGAAUAUUGCACAAUGGGGGAAACCCUGAUGCAGCGACGCCGCGUGAGUGAAGAAGUAUUUCGGUAUGUAAAGCUCUAUCAGCAGGGAAGAAAACAAUGACGGUACCUGACUAAGAAGCCCCGGCUAACUACGUGCCAGCAGCCGCGGUAAUACGUAGGGGGCAAGCGUUAUCCGGAUUUACUGGGUGUAAAGGGAGCGUAGACGGUAGACCAAGUCUGAAGUGAAAGCCCGGGGCUCAACCCCGGAACUGCUUUGGAAACUGGUAAACUAGAGUGCAGGAGAGGUAAGUGGAAUUCCUAGUGUAGCGGUGAAAUGCGCAGAUAUUAGGAGGAACACCAGUGGCGAAGGCGGCUUACUGGACUGUAACUGACGUUGAGGCUCGAAAGCGUGGGGAGCAAACAGGAUUAGAUACCCUGGUAGUCCACGCCGUAAACGAUGAUUACUAGGUGUUGGAGGAUUGACCCCUUCAGUGCCGCGGUUAACACAAUAAGUAAUCCACCUGGGGAGUACGACCGCAAGGUUGAAACUAAAAGGAAUUGACGGGGGCCCGCACAAGCAGUGGAGUAUGUGGUUUAAUUCGACGCAACGCGAAGAACCUUACCAAGUCUUGACAUCCGUUGACCGACAUAGAAAUAUGUUUUUCCUUCGGGACAGCGAGACAGGUGGUGCAUGGUUGUCGUCAGCUCGUGUCGUGAGAUGUUGGGUUAAGUCCCGCAACGAGCGCAACCCUUAUGGUCAGUUACUACGCAAGAGGACUCUGGCCAGACUGCCGUUGACAAAACGGAGGAAGGUGGGGAUGACGUCAAAUCAUCAUGCCCUUUAUGACUUGGGCUACACACGUACUACAAUGGCGUUAAACAAAGAGAAGCAAGACCGCGAGGUGGAGCAAAACUCAGAAACAACGUCCCAGUUCGGACUGCAGGCUGCAACUCGCCUGCACGAAGUCGGAAUUGCUAGUAAUCGUGGAUCAGCAUGCCACGGUGAAUACGUUCCCGGGCCUUGUACACACCGCCCGUCACACCAUGAGAGCCGGGGGGACCCGAAGUCGGUAGUCUAACCGCAAGGAGGACGCCGCCGAAGGUGAAACUGGUGAUUGGGGUGAAGUCGUAACAAGGUA
Molecule: ribosomal RNA, 1487 nt
Filed under: metagenome
Description: bacterial SSU rRNA
Rfam family: Bacterial small subunit ribosomal RNA
Source: RNAcentral